UGGCUUAGAGGGUAAAGCAUCUGCCUGUGAUGCAGGAGACCCAGCUUUGAUCCCUGG
Molecule: transfer RNA, 57 nt
Filed under: Bos taurus (domestic cattle)
Lineage: Eukaryota; Metazoa; Chordata; Mammalia; Artiodactyla; Bovidae
Also listed under: 1 other name
Rfam family: tRNA
About the family: Transfer RNA (tRNA) molecules are approximately 80 nucleotides in length. Their secondary structure includes four short double-helical elements and three loops (D, anti-codon, and T loops).
Source: Rfam by way of RNAcentral